RNAcentral lists this ribosomal RNA (1030 nucleotides) under Hilberina punctata. Its description in RNAcentral is "partial large subunit ribosomal RNA". It matches the Rfam family "Eukaryotic large subunit ribosomal RNA", at positions 22 to 1062 of the family's 3401-position model. Lineage: Eukaryota; Fungi; Ascomycota; Sordariomycetes. The record is from RNAcentral.
GUACCCGCUGAACUUAAGCAUAUCAAUAAGCGGAGGAAAAGAAACCAACAGGGAUUGCCCCAGUAACGGCGAGUGAAGCGGCAACAGCUCAAAUUUGAAAUCUGGCCCCCCCGCCCGGGGGUCCGAGUUGUAAUUUGCAGAGGAUGCCUCGGGCAACGCGCCUUCCGAGUCCCCUGGAACGGGGCGCCACAGAGGGUGAGAGCCCCGUAUGGUCGGACGCCGCGCCCGCGUGAGGCUCCCUCGAAGAGUCGAGUAGUUUGGGAAUGCUGCUCAAAACGGGAGGUAAAUGCCUUCUAAAGCUAAAUACCGGCCGGAGACCGAUAGCGCACAAGUAGAGUGAUCGAAAGAUGAAAAGCACUUUGGAAAGAGGGUCAAACAGCACGUGAAAUUGUUGAAAGGGAAGCGCCCGUGACCAGACUCGGGGCCUGCGGAUCACCCGGCGCUCGCCGCCGGCGCACUCCGCAGGCCGCGGGCCAGCACCGGCCCCCGCGGGGGGACAAAGGCGGGGGGGACGUGGCCCCCAUCACGGGGGUGUUAUAGCCCCCCGCGCAAUGCGCCCGCAGGGGGCCGAGGACCGCGCUUCGGCAAGGAUGCUGGCGUAAUGGUCACCGGCGACCCGUCUUGAAACACGGACCAAGGAGUCAAGGUUCCGCGCGAGUGUACGGGUGGCCAAAGCCCGCGGCGCGAAAUGAAAGUGAACGCAGGUGAGAGCCGCGAGGCGCAUCAUCGACCGAUCCCGACGUGCUCGGACGGAUUUGAGUGGGAGCGCGGAGCCUUGGACCCGAAAGAUGGUGAACUAUGCCUGGAUAGGGCGAAGCCAGAGGAAACUCUGGUGGAGGCUCGCAGCGGUUCUGACGUGCAAAUCGAUCGUCGAAUCUGGGCAUGGGGGCGAAAGACUAAUCGAACCGUCUAGUAGCUGGUUGCCGCCGAAGUUUCCCUCAGGAUAGCAGUGUCGGGCCUCAAGUUUUAUGAGGUAAAGCGAAUGAUUAGGGACCCGGGGGCGUCCAUCAAGCCUCCAUCCAUUCUCAAA